Molecule: ribosomal RNA, 436 nt
Filed under: uncultured Anaerovorax sp.
Lineage: Bacteria; Bacillati; Bacillota; Clostridia; Peptostreptococcales; Anaerovoracaceae
Description: partial 16S ribosomal RNA
Rfam family: Bacterial small subunit ribosomal RNA
Source: RNAcentral
ACGGGAGGCAGCAGUGGGGAAUAUUGCACAAUGGGCGCAAGCCUGAUGCAGCAACGCCGCGUGAGUGAUGAAGGUCUUCGGAUUGUAAAACUCUGUCCUUAAGGACGAAACAAAUGACGGUACUUGAGGAGGAAGCCCCGGCUAACUACGUGCCAGCAGCCGCGGUAAUACGUAGGGGGCGAGCGUUAUCCGGAAUUAUUGGGCGUAAAGAGUACGUAGGUGGUUUUGUAAGCGUAAGGUGAAAGCCUGGGGCUCAACCCCAGCGAGCCUUACGAACUGCAAGACUUGAGUGCAGGAGGGGAAAGUGGAAUUCCUAGUGUAGCGGUGAAAUGCGUAGAUAUUAGGAGGAACACCGGUGGCGAAGGCGACUUACUGGACGGUAACUGACGUUGAGGCUCGAAAGCGUGGGGAGCAAACAGGAUUAGAUACCCUGGUA